This is a long non-coding RNA of Danio aesculapii, 314 nucleotides long. RefSeq lists it as uncharacterized. The record is from RefSeq and is a predicted model, not a curated record. The transcript has 3 exons. Lineage: Eukaryota; Metazoa; Chordata; Actinopteri; Cypriniformes; Danionidae.
CCAAGGUCCACUGCGGUUUUCCACGCGAUGCAGAACCUUUAGACACUGGAUUAAUGUUCUGGAUUAAGUCCAAUGUAUUUAUUGGAAAACAGUAGAGAAAUCUGCAAAUAAGUGGGUUGCAGACAUAAUUACUCAUCUGUCUUCCAUACAUGUAGCAAAAGAAUGCAGAGGCCAUAUGAAUUCAUCUUCACUAAGGAACUCUUCACAGCACUGCAUCUGAACAGUCACAACCUCACAGAGCAGCACAACCACCUCACUCAGGAUCAGUGUUAUGGUGCCAUUUUGAAGCUGGAACCUCAUCUUGUGUUCAGAAA